Molecule: ribosomal RNA, 482 nt
Filed under: uncultured bacterium
Lineage: Bacteria
Description: partial 16S ribosomal RNA
Rfam family: Bacterial small subunit ribosomal RNA
Source: RNAcentral
AUUGAACGCUGGCGGCAUGCCUUACACAUGCAAGUCGAACGGUAACGGGCCUUCGGGUGCCGACGAGUGGCGAACGGGUGAGUAAUACAUCGGAACGUGCCCGAUCGUGGGGGAUAACGAGGCGAAAGCUUUGCUAAUACCGCAUACGAUCUACGGAUGAAAGCAGGGGACCGCAAGGCCUUGCGCGGACGGAGCGGCCGAUGGCAGAUUAGGUAGUUGGUGGGAUAAAAGCUUACCAAGCCGACGAUCUGUAGCUGGUCUGAGAGGAUGAUCAGCCACACUGGGACUGAGACACGGCCCAGACUCCUACGGGAGGCAGCGGUGGGGAAUUUUGGACAAUGGGCGCAAGCCUGAUCCAGCCAUGCCGCGUGCAGGAUGAAGGCCUUCGGGUUGUAAACUGCUUUUGUACGGAACGAAAAGCCUUCUUUUAAUACAGGAGGGUCAUGACGGUACCGUAAGAAUAAGCACCGGCUAACUACGUG